CUAACGGCUAUCAGACACUCUUCCUCUCUAUCUUUUCUUCUUGUACAAUAAGUUUGCGUAAUAUGUUCAAAACCCACUCACUUUGUAAGUGAAUGCCUAGCCACACAUCAAUUUUCUGAGUUUAUGUAUGAGCAAGCUCAUCAAGAUCAAACCCAAAUGGCCUACAGAACAUAUAAAAACCCAUACUUUAAUGCUUAUAAUUC
RNAcentral lists this long non-coding RNA (203 nucleotides) under Elaeis guineensis (African oil palm). Its description in RNAcentral is "long non-coding RNA (EGUI_LNC070382)". The record is from RNAcentral. Lineage: Eukaryota; Viridiplantae; Streptophyta; Magnoliopsida; Arecales; Arecaceae.